CCUACGUGAGGCAGCAGUGAGGAAUAUUGGUCAAUGGGCGCGAGCCUGAACCAGCCAAGUCGCGUGAGGGAAGACGGUCCUAUGGAUUGUAAACCUCUUUUGUCGGGGAGCAAAAGACGCCACGCGUGGCGUUCCGAGAGUACCCGAAGAAAAAGCAUCGGCUAACUCCGUGCCAGCAGCCGCGGUAAUACGGAGGAUGCGAGCGUUAUCCGGAUUUAUUGGGUUUAAAGGGUGCGAAGGCGGAAGAUCAAGUCAGCGGUAAAAUUGAGAGGCUCAACCCCUUCGAGCCGUUGAAACUGGUUUUCUUGAGUGAGCGAGAAGUAUGCGGAAUGCGUGGUGGAGCGGUGAAAUGCAUAGAUAUCACGCAGAACUCCGAUUGCGAAGGCAGCAUACCGGCGCUCAACUGACGCUCAUGCACGAAAGUGUGGGUAUCGAACAGGAUUAGAUACCCUAGUAGUC
Molecule: ribosomal RNA, 459 nt
Filed under: uncultured bacterium
Lineage: Bacteria
Description: partial 16S ribosomal RNA
Rfam family: Bacterial small subunit ribosomal RNA
Source: RNAcentral